RNAcentral lists this ribosomal RNA (1287 nucleotides) under metagenome. RNAcentral's name for it is "bacterial SSU rRNA". It matches the Rfam family "Bacterial small subunit ribosomal RNA", at positions 242 to 1520 of the family's 1533-position model. The record is from RNAcentral.
UAGCUAGUUGGUGAGGUAAAGGCUUACCAAGGCGACGAUCUGUAGCGGGUCUGAGAGGAUGAUCCGCCACACUGGAACUGAGACACGGUCCAGACUCCUACGGGAGGCAGCAGUGGGGAAUUUUGGACAAUGGGGGCAACCCUGAUCCAGCCAUGCCGCGUGAGUGAAGAAGGCCUUCGGGUUGUAAAGCUCUUUCGGCCGGGAAGAAAUCGCAUGGGCCAAUACCCUGUGUGGAUGACGGUACCGGAAUAAGAAGCACCGGCUAACUACGUGCCAGCAGCCGCGGUAAUACGUAGGGUGCGAGCGUUAAUCGGAAUUACUGGGCGUAAAGCGUGCGCAGGCGGUUUUGUAAGACAGGCGUGAAAUCCCCGGGCUUAACCUGGGAACUGCGUUUGUGACUGCAAGGCUAGAGUACGGCAGAGGGGGGUGGAAUUCCACGUGUAGCAGUGAAAUGCGUAGAGAUGUGGAGGAACACCAAUGGCGAAGGCAGCCCCCUGGGUCGAUACUGGCGCUCAUGCACGAAAGCGUGGGUAGCAAACAGGAUUAGAUACCCUGGUAGUCCACGCCCUAAACUAUGUCAACUAGGUGUUGGGUGGGUAAAACCAUUUAGUACCGUAGCUAACGCGUGAAGUUGACCGCCUGGGGAGUACGGCCGCAAGGUUAAAACUCAAAGGAAUUGACGGGGACCCGCACAAGCGGUGGAUGAUGUGGAUUAAUUCGAUGCAACGCGAAAAACCUUACCUACACUUGACAUGCCAGGAACUUGCCAGAGAUGGCUUGGUGCCCGAAAGGGAGCCUGGACACAGGUGCUGCAUGGCUGUCGUCAGCUCGUGUCGUGAGAUAUUGGGUUAAGUCCCGCAACGAGCGCAACCCUUGUCGUUAAUUGCCAUCAUUUAGUUGGGCACUUUAACGAGACUGCCGGUGACAAACCGGAGGAAGGUGGGGAUGACGUCAAGUCCUCAUGGCCCUUAUGGGUAGGGCUUCACACGUCAUACAAUGGUCGGUACAAAGGGUUGCCAAGCCGCGAGGCGGAGCCAAUCCCAGAAAGCCGAUCGUAGUCCGGAUUGCAGGCUGCAACUCGCCUGCAUGAAGUCGGAAUCGCUAGUAAUCGUGGAUCAGCAUGUCACGGUGAAUACGUUCCCGGGUCUUGUACACACCGCCCGUCACACCAUGGGAGCGGGUUCCGCCAGAAGUAGGUAGCCUAACCGCAAGGGGGGCGCUUACCACGGCGGGGUUCGUGACUGGGGUGAAGUCGUAACAAGGUAGCCGUAGGGGAACCUGCGGCUG